GCGACGAUCAGUAGCGGGUCUGAGAGGAUGAUCCGCCACACUGGAACUGAGACGCGGUCCAGACUCCUACGGGAGGCAGCAGUGGGGAAUUUUGGACAAUGGGGGAAACCCUGAUCCAGCCAUUCCGCGUGAGUGAAGAAGUCCUUCGGGUUGUAAAGCUCUUUCAGCUGGAAAGAAACGGUACGCACUAACAUUGUGUGCUAAUGACGGUACCAGCAGAAGAAGCACCGGCUAACUACGUGCCAGCAGCCGCGGUAAUACGUAGGGUGCGAGCGUUAAUCGGAAUUACUGGGCGUAAAGCGUGCGCAGGCGGUUAUAUAAGACAGAUGUGAAAUCCCCGGGCUCAACCUGGGACCUGCAUUUGUGACUGUAUAGCUAGAGUACGGUAGAGGGGGAUGGAAUUCCGCGUGUAGCAGUGAAAUGCGUAGAUAUGCGGAGGAACACCGGUGGCGAAGGCAAUCCCCUGGACCUGUACUGACGCUCAUGCACGAAAGCGUGGGGAGCAAACAGGAUUAGAUACCCUGGUAGUCCACGCCCUAAACGAUGUCAACUGGUGGUCUUCACUGACUCAGUAACGAAGCUAACGCGUGAAGUUGACCGCCUGGGGAGUACGGCCGCAAGGUUGAAACUCAAAUGAAUUGACGG
RNAcentral lists this ribosomal RNA (645 nucleotides) under uncultured beta proteobacterium. Its description in RNAcentral is "bacterial SSU rRNA". It matches the Rfam family "Bacterial small subunit ribosomal RNA", at positions 273 to 916 of the family's 1533-position model. Lineage: Bacteria; Pseudomonadati; Pseudomonadota; Betaproteobacteria. The record is from RNAcentral.